GUGAAUCAUCGAAUCUUUGAACGCACAUUGCGCCCGCCAGCAUUCUGGCGGGCAUGCCUGUUCGAGCGUCAUUACAACACUCGACUUCCCGGGCCCAGCCCGUGGAAGUCGGCAUUGGGGAUCGGCAGCACACCGCCGGCCCUGAAAUGGAGUGGCGGCCCGUCCGCGGCGACCUCUGCGUAGUAAUCCAACUCGCACCGGAACCCCGACGUGGCCACGCCGUAAAACACCCAACUUCUGAACGUUGACCUCGAAUCAGGUAGGACUACCCGCUGAACUUAAGCAUAUCAAUAAGCGGAGGA
Molecule: unclassified non-coding RNA, 302 nt
Filed under: Beauveria sp.
Lineage: Eukaryota; Fungi; Ascomycota; Sordariomycetes; Hypocreales; Cordycipitaceae
Description: partial contains 5.8S ribosomal RNA, internal transcribed spacer 2, and large subunit ribosomal RNA
Rfam family: 5.8S ribosomal RNA (bases 1-71)
Source: RNAcentral